UACGUAGGGGGCAAGCGUUGUCCGGAAUCAUUGGGCGUAAAGCGCACGUAGGCGGCUUUUCAAGUCCCAUGUGAAAGCCCACGGCUUAACCGUGGAAGUGCAUGGGAAACUGGAGAGCUUGAGUACUUAAGAGGAUCGCGGAAUUCCCGGUGUAGAGGUGAAAUUCGGUAGAUAUCGGGAGGAACACCAGUGGCGAAGGCGGCGAUCUGGGAAGAUACUGACGCUGAGGUGCGAAAGCGUGGGGAGC
RNAcentral lists this ribosomal RNA (247 nucleotides) under uncultured bacterium. RNAcentral describes it as "partial 16S ribosomal RNA". It matches the Rfam family "Bacterial small subunit ribosomal RNA", at positions 524 to 769 of the family's 1533-position model. The record is from RNAcentral.